Molecule: long non-coding RNA, 2010 nt
Filed under: Prunus dulcis (almond)
Lineage: Eukaryota; Viridiplantae; Streptophyta; Magnoliopsida; Rosales; Rosaceae
Description: sRNA ncRNA
Source: RNAcentral
UAAAAAUUUCACAAUCCCUAACCAGUGAGAGAGAGAGAGAGAGAGAGAGAGAGAGAGAAGCUAUUUCAAUGGCGACACAGAGCUCGAGUUCGAUCAAAAUUCAUGCUUUAGGCUAUGCAACUCAAACCCCUUCUCUGGUAAGCUUCCAAUUCGCCUAUUUCUCACUUCUAUUGUUUGGAUAGCGAGAACAUCAAGCAGUAGAAAUGAAAGAAUAAAACGCUAAUCUUCUCCCCAAAUGCAACCAUUGAGUAUUUCAGAUAGGUUUAGCCAUACAUUUUUUGGAAUUUGAAGCAGUUGAAAACCCAAUUGUUGUUUUUAUUUUGUUUUCAACAGGAAUUGAAGGAAAACAUUUUGUUUCUUUAUCAGAAAAUUUUGUUGGGAAAUAAAAGAAAUCAGGGUUUUGGUAUUUAGUGCAUGUAUAACAUUAUGCGUUUGUAAAGUUUUGCAUUGUAGAAUUGUGGACUACGUAUGGAAUGGACUUGUGGGAAGGUUGUAAGUAAUUCAUUAAUCUGUCAAUGUAGUUUGAAGGGAGCUUCUGUGGGGAACUAUUUCUGGGGCACUUGGGGAAGGAAUGACUCGUCCAGUUGUCUCUGUAAAUACAUGCAUUCAGAGCCAAGCUAAUCUUUGUGAAAGUCAGGGGUAUGAUCAUAGAGUAGAGAUGUUAAGGAUUAACAUUCAUGGCUAAUGGGUAAAGCUCAAUUUUUUGGAUGGCAUUUAGCUUGAUAUUAAUUAUAUGUAAGAAAGUAAAUUUCGAGUACUCAAUCUGGCAUUUUAUUAGUGUUUCCAUAGCUUAGCUAUGAUGGCUGGUAUCCAAUGUAUGGUCCGUCCUCUUCUUUCCCUCUUCUCUCUGUUUUUCAUCAUGAUGGGGAUCAGGCAAUUAAGAGUCUUGUAGACUGUUGGCCUCUUAACUCAAUUGGUGUGUGUCAUCGAAACUAGUUAGUUUGAUUUGGUUGUAAUUUUUGUUUGGGAUUGAGAAUGUUAGAUGGACGUCUCAUUCAUCCUCCUUCUAACUUUCUUUCAUUUAUAACAUCUGCGAUUGUUAUAAGAAAUAUUAAAAGAAAAGUAGCUUACUUGCAAUCCACUUUCACCAUGAGGCCAAUACUUCUCUGUAAAAUACUGGAGGUCAUUGCCUGUCCACCCCCAUCAAUGCAUGCAUCUGCACACAACACUGACAGAACAACACAUAUCAGACAUGCAUAUGCGAACAUAUGAACUAUGACCUUAAUGUUCUUGCGCAAUUGCAGAUUUUAAGUUUUCUCUCAUUUGGCAUAUACUGGUCCACACUCGCAAGGGAUGCCAUUUCCUGGUCUAAUAGUAUGUUGAAUAGUGAUAGUUUGUAUGUCUCAUCCUUUUUCUUUUGGCCUUUACCACAAUUGCUUGGUAACAAUAGGAAAAUACGACUGCAACUCCUAAUAGCCAAAAUUUAUUCUAAUAGGUUUGCCACUCCUUGAUGUGCACUCCCCCACGCUUGUUUAUUGCCUUGUUUCGUCCCAAGAAGAAAAAUUCAGACCUACCGUGUUUUGGUCAUUGGUGAAUCAUAGGCAGUUCGGCUUUUGGACUCUAAAUGAUCUUCUUGUCAUUAUCCUGUUGCUCUUUCCUGAACAAGCUCUCGUUCUUAUUUCUAGUAUAAUAGUUUUGUUUCAAAGUUAUGAUUUCAUCUUGCACUAUGCAGGUUAUGUUCUUUGAAGGCUUGAUAGAUUGGAUAAAGUAUGGGAAGCAGUACAUAAUCAUAGGGAUGUAGCAAUACCAGGAUUCAUCAGGAUAAUCUAGCUUUAGUGCUUACCUAGAAGGAUUGAGCAAUGAUAACAUGCGAGAGGAGAUUUUUAAAUUUCUUUCCCAUCCGAUCUUGUUUGUUGAACAGCAUGGGGAAUUUUUAUGAAUCCAAUUAAAUCAUUUGGACGAGAUUUUUAAAUGAUGUUUUCAUGUAAUCUGGGUAUAUAUGUAUAAAUAAAAAACGAAGUUCUGCUUUUUCUUUACUAUUAAAUGUAAAAGUCACGGACAUGGAACGAG